ACUUCAGGAAUUGAAAUAUCGGUAUUUUCAUUAGCAUAUAAUCGACCAAAAGAGACGUCGCCAUUAUCGCUGGCACAGACAUUGUCA
Molecule: transfer RNA, 87 nt
Filed under: Shewanella piezotolerans WP3
Lineage: Bacteria; Pseudomonadati; Pseudomonadota; Gammaproteobacteria; Alteromonadales; Shewanellaceae
Description: tRNA-Leu
Source: RNAcentral